AGAGUUUGAUCCUGGCUCAGAUUGAACUUUGGCGGCAGGCCUAACACAUGCAAGUCGAACGGUAACAGGAAGAAGCUUGCUUCUUUGCUGACGAGUGGCGGACGGGUGAGUAAUGUCUGGGAAACUGCCUGAUGGAGGGGGAUAACUACUGGAAACGGUAGCUAAUACCGCAUAACGUCGCAAGACCAAAGAGGGGGACCUUCGGGCCUCUUGCCAUCGGAUGUGCCCAGAUGGGAUUAGCUAGUAGGUGGGGUAACGGCUCACCUAGGCGACGAUCCCUAGCUGGUCUGAGAGGAUGACCAGCCACACUGGAACUGAGACACGGUCCAGACUCCUACGGGAGGCAGCAGUGGGGAAUAUUGCACAAUGGGCGCAAGCCUGAUGCAGCCAUGCCGCGUGUAUGAAGAAGGCCUUCGGGUUGUAAAGUACUUUCAGCGGGGAGGAAGGGAGUAAAGUUAAUACCUUUGCUCAUUGACGUUACCCGCAGAAGAAGCACCGGCUAACUCCGUGCCAGCAGCCGCGGUAAUACGGAGGGUGCAAGCGUUAAUCGGAAUUACUGGGCGUAAAGCGCACGCAGGCGGUUUGUUAAGUCAGAUGUGAAAUCCCCGGGCUCAACCUGGGAACUGCAUCUGAUACUGGCAAGCUUGAGUCUCGUAGAGGGGGGUAGAAUUCCAGGUGUAGCGGUGAAAUGCGUAGAGAUCUGGAGGAAUACCGGUGGCGAAGGCGGCCCCCUGGACGAAGACUGACGCUCAGGUGCGAAAGCGUGGGGAGCAAACAGAAUUAGAUACCCUGGUAGUCCACGCCGUAAACG
This 811-nucleotide ribosomal RNA is filed under the name uncultured bacterium. Its description in RNAcentral is "bacterial SSU rRNA". It matches the Rfam family "Bacterial small subunit ribosomal RNA", at positions 8 to 808 of the family's 1533-position model. The record is from RNAcentral.